RNAcentral lists this ribosomal RNA (306 nucleotides) under Triticum aestivum (bread wheat). RNAcentral describes it as "partial small subunit ribosomal RNA". The record is from RNAcentral. Lineage: Eukaryota; Viridiplantae; Streptophyta; Magnoliopsida; Poales; Poaceae.
GGGAAAGGUUAUCAGGAGGAUGACAAGGAGGAAAUAAAGAACAUAUUGGGAGUCCAUUCUGAAGCGCUGAGUGAAAGAUACCUCGGACUACCAACACUGGUUGGGAAGUCUAAGGAGGGUACUUUCAGAUAUGUGACAGAGAGUUCGAAAGGCAAGGUUGGUGGAUGGAAGGGGCAAGGACUAUCGAAAGCUGCGAGAGAAGUGUUGAUCAAAUCUGGGUUACAAGCUGUACCCACUUUCACCAUGAGUUGUUUUCAGCUCACGAAGAAGAUGUGCCGGAACCUGACCUCAAUCUCUUCAAAAUUC